GCAAGAAAGAAAUAAAGAAAGCUCAGACAGAAAAGAAGGACCCAUUGGGCGAUUUGUUGGUUUCUUGGAUCAAUUCGGUCAUUUCAAUCGAUGCUUUGUUCAUUUGAUUAAU
Molecule: non-coding RNA, 112 nt
Filed under: Aurantiochytrium limacinum
Lineage: Eukaryota; Bigyra; Thraustochytrida; Thraustochytriidae
Source: RNAcentral